AAAACCACAUGAAAAUUUCAAGAAUUCACUGAUCUGAUGCAAAAUAAAAAUUUAUCAUUACAUCUUGAACCCAGGAAGCUUACAGCAAAGAGACUAUGCUUUAUGACGUCAGCAAUAGAUAAUUCCACGUUGCCUUUGUGAUUUGUAUAUAUAGCUUACAUUUGUGGAUCACUACAUAGCCAGAUUCAAAAAUAUUUUACUUGUUCCAUCCACAGUUCUCUACAGAAAGAACCAAUGAACCCAAUAGGAACAAAUUCUCUGUGGAAAACAAAGCAUAGCUGUAGUAGAUACGAAUCCAAUCACAGAGGAAACAGGAAGAGAAAAACAUCCAAGACUACAGUGAAAACUGGAAAUGUUCUCUCCUUCUGAUAUCCUGAUACCACCAGUUCUUUGACAUCACCAGGACCACCAGUUCACUGACCUGAUAUCAGCUCCUAUGUCCUCACUUCCCUUUGCACUCCUCUCGCAUAUACCCCACAUUUCCUGCUGUCUCCCCAUCUCCAGUAUCUCAUGUCUCACUUCCAUUACUUAAAUAACCAUGAAAUCAUCUUUCUACUUGGCUCUCACAUCCACUCUGUCAACAAAUUGUCACCUCCAUCUUCAGAAUAUACCCAGGGUCUGACCAAUCUCUACCACUUCCACUGCUACCAAGAUCAGAAGAGGAAGGAAACUCAAAGAAGACACAAGAGUACAGGGAUCAGAAAAACCCUUGAAUGUUGCAGACUGCCCCAGUGCCAUCAGACUUCAGAUGUGUGACUCAUUUUAUUUUUGGUCAACACACGGAGCUGCUCUCUGCUAGCUAUUACCCUGGUGGUAUGAAAACUGCUAAGUGUGGUGGACAGGUGUUGGCAUUGCCUUCCUAAUAUCCAGUUUCUCCUCUAACGGAGUAAGCUCUGCGAUAGGAGUGAAGAGUGUCACUAAGUGAGAAUCAGCUACGGUGGCAGCUCGUCCUAGAAAUGUCACGUCUCAUCCUGCCUCCGUGUGCUGGCCUAUCCAAGUUCAGGUUUCAGGCAGGCAGCUGGACUCAGCAGGAAGAGUCUCUUUUUCUGAAAGCUAAAAUGACUCUUCAGCUUGAGAGCGGCUGUCCUCCUUGUUUUCUUUGAAAGAAGAUCAUUUCCUGAAGGCCGAGAGAUCCAGGCUCUCCAAAAGCCUCUCUCUGUGGGUGAGACCCGCCAAAGAAUGCAAGGAUGAGAAACAAAACCAAAUCUCAGAGGAAUGAAAGAAUCCUUUUCACAUGGACAUUAGUUACAUUCAUUAAUGGCUCACACAUGAGUUCAGGCCCAUGUUUUGAUCUGUAGGAUUGUUUUCAAUUGAGCUCUAGAAACAG
Molecule: long non-coding RNA, 1327 nt
Organism: Homo sapiens (human)
Lineage: Eukaryota; Metazoa; Chordata; Mammalia; Primates; Hominidae
Source: Ensembl